UUUUUCGCUUGAGGAUGAGCCCAUGUGGGAUUAGCUAGUUGGUGAGGUAAUGGCUCACCAAGGCUACGAUCCCUAACUGGUCUUAGAGGAUGAUCAGUCACACUGGAACUGAGACACGGUCCAGACUCCUACGGGAGGCAGCAGUAGGGAAUAUUGCACAAUGGAGGAAACUCUGAUGCAGCGACGCCGCGUGAGUGAUGAAGGCCUUCGGGUCGUAAAGCUCUGUCGUAUGGGACUAACACAAUG
Molecule: ribosomal RNA, 246 nt
Filed under: uncultured Bdellovibrio sp.
Lineage: Bacteria; Pseudomonadati; Bdellovibrionota; Bdellovibrionia; Bdellovibrionales; Pseudobdellovibrionaceae
Description: partial 16S ribosomal RNA
Rfam family: Bacterial small subunit ribosomal RNA
Source: RNAcentral